GUUAAGGUGGCAGAGCCCGGUAAAUGCAUAAAACUUAAAACUUUAACACCAGAGGUUCAACUCCUCUCCUUAACA
RNAcentral lists this transfer RNA (75 nucleotides) under Saguinus mystax (moustached tamarin). RNAcentral describes it as "tRNA-Leu". It matches the Rfam family "tRNA". Rfam says of the family: Transfer RNA (tRNA) molecules are approximately 80 nucleotides in length. Their secondary structure includes four short double-helical elements and three loops (D, anti-codon, and T loops). Lineage: Eukaryota; Metazoa; Chordata; Mammalia; Primates; Cebidae. The record is from RNAcentral.